RNAcentral lists this ribosomal RNA (502 nucleotides) under Salmonella enterica. RNAcentral's name for it is "partial 23S ribosomal RNA". It matches the Rfam family "Bacterial large subunit ribosomal RNA", at positions 690 to 1190 of the family's 2925-position model. The record is from RNAcentral. Lineage: Bacteria; Pseudomonadati; Pseudomonadota; Gammaproteobacteria; Enterobacterales; Enterobacteriaceae. RNAcentral also lists the same sequence under 2 other names.
GGGCGUUAAGUUGCAGGGUAUAGACCCGAAACCCGGUGAUCUAGCCAUGGGCAGGUUGAAGGUUGGGUAACACUAACUGGAGGACCGAACCGACUAAUGUUGAAAAAUUAGCGGAUGACCUGUGGCUGGGGGUGAAAGGCCAAUCAAACCGGGAGAUAGCUGGUUCUCCCCGAAAGCUAUUUAGGUAGCGCCUCGUGAAUUCAUCUCCGGGGGUAGAGCACUGUUUCGGCUAGGGGGCCAUCCCGGCUUACCAACCCGAUGCAAACUGCGAAUACCGGAGAAUGUUAUCACGGGAGACACACGGCGGGUGCUAACGUCCGUCGUGAAGAGGGAAACAACCCAGACCGCCAGCUAAGGUCCCAAAGUCAUGGUUAAGUGGGAAACGAUGUGGGAAGGCCCAGACAGCCAGGAUGUUGGCUUAGAAGCAGCCAUCAUUUAAAGAAAGCGUAAUAGCUCACUGGUCGAGUCGGCCUGCGCGGAAGAUGUAACGGGGCUAAACCAU